RNAcentral lists this small nuclear RNA (142 nucleotides) under Saimiri boliviensis boliviensis (Bolivian squirrel monkey). RNAcentral describes it as "U2 spliceosomal RNA (ENSSBOG00000008557.1)". It matches the Rfam family "U2 spliceosomal RNA", at positions 1 to 141 of the family's 192-position model. From Rfam's summary of the family: U2 is a small nuclear RNA (snRNA) component of the spliceosome (involved in pre-mRNA splicing). Complementary binding between U2 snRNA (in an area lying towards the 5' end but 3' to hairpin I) and the branchpoint sequence (BPS) of the intron results the bulging out of an unpaired adenosine, on the BPS, which initiates a nucleophilic attack at the intronic 5' splice site, thus starting the first of two transesterification reactions that mediate splicing. Lineage: Eukaryota; Metazoa; Chordata; Mammalia; Primates; Cebidae. The record is from RNAcentral.
AUCGCUUUUUGGCCUGUUGGCCAAAAUCAGUGUAGCAUCUAUUUUUAUCAGCUUAAUAUCUGAUAUGUCUUCUAUCUAAGAACAGUAUUUUAAAUGGAUUUUUUGGAGCAGGGAGAUGGAAUAGGAAUUUGCCCCNNNNNNN